This 652-nucleotide ribosomal RNA is filed under the name uncultured Alphaproteobacteria bacterium. RNAcentral's name for it is "bacterial SSU rRNA". It matches the Rfam family "Bacterial small subunit ribosomal RNA", at positions 790 to 1440 of the family's 1533-position model. Lineage: Bacteria; Pseudomonadati; Pseudomonadota; Alphaproteobacteria. The record is from RNAcentral.
GUAGUCCACGCCCUAAACGAUGAGUGCUAGACGUUGGAGGAUUACUUCAGUGUCGCAGCUAACGCGUUAAGCACUCCGCCUGAGGAUUACGGUCGCAAGACUAAAACUUAAAGGAAUUGACGGGGGCCCGCACAAGCGGUGGAGCAUGUGGUUUAAUUCGAUGCUACGCGAAAAACCUUACCAGCUCUUGACAUUGGGAUUAUGGACAUCAGAGAUGAAGUCCUUCGGUUCGGCCGGGUCCUAAACAGGUGCUGCAUGGCUGUCGUCAGCUCGUGUCGUGAGAUGUUGGGUUAAGUCCCGCAACGAGCGCAACCCUUGUCCCUAGUUGCUAACAGGUUAUGCUGAGAACUUUAGGGAGACCGCCGGUGAUAAACCGGAGGAAGGGGAGGAUGACGUCAAGUCCUCAUGGCCCUUAUGGGCUGGGCUACACACGUGCUACAAUGGUGGUUACAGAGAGAUGCAAUGGGGCGACCCGGAGCCAAACUUUAAAGACCAUCUCAGUUCGGAUUGUUCUCUGCAACUCGAGAACAUGAAGUUGGAAUCGCUAGUAAUCGUGGAUCAGAAUGCCACGGUGAAUACGUUCACGGGCCUUGUACACACCGCCCGUCAAGCCAUGGGAGUUGGUUCUACCCCUGAAACCAGUGCGCUAACC